RNAcentral lists this ribosomal RNA (195 nucleotides) under uncultured bacterium. RNAcentral describes it as "partial 16S ribosomal RNA". It matches the Rfam family "Bacterial small subunit ribosomal RNA", at positions 1307 to 1500 of the family's 1533-position model. The record is from RNAcentral.
GCAACUCGCCUACAUGAAGUCGGAAUUGCUAGUAAUCGCGGAUCAGCAUGCCGCGGUGAAUACGUUCCCGGGCCUUGUACACACCGCCCGUCACACCAUGGGAGUCGGUAACACCCGAAGCCUGUAGUCUAACCGCAAGGAGGACGGCAGUCGAAGGUGGGAUUGAUGACUGGGGUGAAGUCGUAACAAGGUACC